Suricata suricatta (meerkat) is the source of this 313-nucleotide long non-coding RNA. RefSeq lists it as uncharacterized. The record is from RefSeq and is a predicted model, not a curated record. Lineage: Eukaryota; Metazoa; Chordata; Mammalia; Carnivora; Herpestidae. The transcript is spliced from 3 exons.
AGAAACUGUUAGAAGAGCCAGUGGUAAGCCUGGACUAUAUUUAACUACAGAUCUUCUGCCUGCCAAAGAAAUUUGCUCUCUCAGAGAUCUGGAAGCUAGAAGUCUGAAACCAAGGGGCAGGACCAUAGUCCAUCUGAAGUCUCCAGGGAAGGAUGUGUUCCAUGCCUUUCUCCUAGCUUCUCGUGGCUGCUGAGAAGAAGCCUUUGUGGAUACACUGGGUCAAGAAUGCCUUUUCUCUCCCACUCCAUAUGGAAGAAGGCCCCCAGGGAGGGCUGGGUUCCUGCGGAAAGCUUCACAGUAGGAGGGAAGAAGG